AUUGAACGCUGGCGGCAGGCCUAACACAUGCAAGUCGAACGAGAGGCGGACGGGGGAGUAAUGUAUGGGGACUGCCCGCUAGAGGGGGAUAACUACUGGAAACGGUGGCUAAUCCCGCAUACUAUCGGAUAACCCAUAUGGGAUUAGCUAGUAGGUGGGGUAAAGGCUGACCUAGACGCCGAUCUCUAGCUGGUCUGAGAGGAUGACCAGCCACACUGGGACUGAGACACUGCCCGGACUCCUACGGAGGCAGCAGUGGGGAAUAUUGCACAAUGGGCGCAAUCCUGAUGCAGCCAUGCCGCGUGUAUGAAGAAGGCCUUGGGGUUGUAAAGUACUUUCAGCGGGGAGGCGUUAACCGCAGAAGAAGCACCGGCUAACUCCGUGCCAGCAGCCGCGGUAAUUC
Molecule: ribosomal RNA, 403 nt
Filed under: uncultured bacterium
Lineage: Bacteria
Description: partial 16S ribosomal RNA
Rfam family: Bacterial small subunit ribosomal RNA
Source: RNAcentral